RNAcentral lists this ribosomal RNA (696 nucleotides) under uncultured bacterium. Its description in RNAcentral is "bacterial SSU rRNA". It matches the Rfam family "Bacterial small subunit ribosomal RNA", at positions 32 to 715 of the family's 1533-position model. The record is from RNAcentral.
AACGCUAGCUACAGGCUUAACACAUGCAAGUCGAGGGGAAACGACAUCGAAAGCUUGCUUUUGAUGGGUGUCGACCGGCGCACGGGUGAGUAACGCGUAUCCAACCUGCCCACCACUUGGGGAUAACCUUGCGAAAGUAAGACUAAUACCCAAUGAUAUCCCACGAAGGCAUCCGAAUGGGAUUAAAGAUUUAUCGGUGAUGGAUGGGGAUGCGUCUGAUUAGCUUGUUGGCGGGGUAACGGCCCACCAAGGCAACGAUCAGUAGGGGUUCUGAGAGGAAGGUCCCCCACAUUGGAACUGAGACACGGUCCAAACUCCUACGGGAGGCAGCAGUGAGGAAUAUUGGUCAAUGGGCGAGAGCCUGAACCAGCCAAGUAGCGUGCAGGAUGACGGCCCUAUGGGUUGUAAACUGCUUUUAUAAGGGAAUAAAGUGAGUCUCGUGAGACUUUUUGCGUGUACCUUAUGAAUAAGGACCGGCUAAUUCCGUGCCAGCAGCCGCGGUAAUACGGAAGGUCCGGGCGUUAUCCGGAUUUAUUGGGUUUAAAGGGAGCGUAGGCCGGAGAUUAAGCGUGUUGUGAAAUGUAGUGGCUCAACCUCUGCACUGCAGCGCGAACUGGUCUUCUUGAGUACGCACAACGUGGGCGGAAUUCGUGGUGUAGCGGUGAAAUGCUUAGAUAUCACGAAGAACUCCGAUUG